This 497-nucleotide ribosomal RNA is filed under the name uncultured bacterium. RNAcentral describes it as "partial 16S ribosomal RNA". It matches the Rfam family "Bacterial small subunit ribosomal RNA", at positions 28 to 507 of the family's 1533-position model. The record is from RNAcentral.
GAUGAACGCUGGCGGCGUGCCUAAUACAUGCAAGUCGAGCGAACAGAUGAGGAGCUUGCUCCUCUUACGUUAGCGGCGGACGGGUUAGUAACACGUGGAUAACCUACCUAUAAGACUUGGAUAACUUCGGGAAACCGGAGCUAAUACCGGAUAAUAUAUUUAACCGCAUGGUUCAAUAGUGAAAGACGGUUUUGCUGUCACUUAUAGAUGGAUCCGCGCCGCAUUAGCUAGUUGGUAAGGUAACGGCUUACCAAGGCGACGAUGCGUAGCCGACCUGAGAGGGUGAUCGGCCACACUGGAACUGAGACACGGUCCAGACUCCUACGGGAGGCAGCAGUAGGGAAUCUUCCGCAAUGGGCGAAAGCCUGACGGAGCAACGCCGCGUGAGUGAUGAAGGUCUUCGGAUCGUAAAACUCUGUUAUUAGGGAAGAACAAAUGUGUAAGUAACUAUGCACGUCUUGACGGUACCUAAUCAGAAAGCCACGGCUAACUACGUG